UCUUGUCCAACGACAAAACGCUCUGCUUACACUGAAAUGGGGACCUUUUAAAUUUCACUUAACCGUUUGACGAUGGGGUUUUUCUCAAUUCCUUCAAUCGGAAAGGUCCCUCCAGACAGACACGCUAUCGUCGGGGAAAACUAAUCCAGCCUAUAAGUUCACCUCAGAACACUAUAUCUGAAUUGCUGGAGACAAGCUGCCACGCAACCAAGGCGCCAUAUAAAAUAGUGGUCUAAAAGGCACGUUGCGUGGCAAUAAAUCACGACGUUGACUGGAUCGGGAAGGAAAACGCGAUUCGCAACAGAAAAUGCAAAGUAAAAUAUAUAGUCCUUCACAUAACGAAAAUCACUUCAUAUUGGCAAUUUCACGCCGCCAUUGACAACCACAAAUAUUCAAUUUCCUAAAACAAAAUCGAUAGUGUCGCGGCGGCGAAAAUAACCUUGUUUUCCGUCAUUUUAUUUGCCGGAAAACCCAUGCCGAUCUUUUCCAAACUCUGGAAGCUUUUCUGUUAAGGUUUCUCUUCACGACGUCGUUCUGAAUUAACUUCCACUCCUCGCGUGCCAGUAAAUAAGAGAAAGCUCCCAUCCAAAAUAUAAAGUCCGUGUGCAAACGGGUCGGCUUCUUUUUCCUAAAAUUGUUGCGAAAAUUUGAGGUAACUAGUUUCGAUUAAGGCAUCAUGUUGUUUUCAUUAGUCUUGGUUAGUCUUACUUUAAUGAAAUAUUUUCUAAAUCGCGCUAUAAUUUAUUUAAUUUUUGUAAUCCCUUCUGAUAGUUGGGAUAGUUAAUAACAUUUUUCUGUUAUAAUUGAUAGUAAUGUUCUAUUGAUAUAAGUGUAUUUGCAAAUGUUACAAUUAAAUGUAUGUAUAUAUUUGUAACAAAUGUAUUUUAUUAUAUUUUUAUAUUCAACUACUUUCUGAUAAUUUGUUUCAUCUCUACUACUAAUCAAAUCUUCACUGUUGGAAGAAAGCUUGAGUUUCCAAUAAAAAAUCGUUGAUUUAGAGCUUUAACAAUUUUUUCCUCCUCUCUCAGCUUUGUGUGAUUUAGAGUUUUAUUAUUCAUCAUUUUUGUUGAUUACCGGGUAUCCCAUUUAUUAUCUACAGUAUAUUUCACAAGUUUUUUUCUUUUUGUAUUUACAUCUCCAAGUAAAACCACAACAAUUAGAUUUUAGAAACUCUUUUAAGAUAUCAUCUUUACCUUACGAGCACGUAUUUGCAAAACUUAAGUCGUAAGAAUAAUGAUACCGGGCAUCAAAUUUUAUUCGCCAAAAUCCAAAAUUUUUGAGUGUAAUCAAUUAUUCUACAAAAAAAAUAGAGAAUCCAUAGAAUUCUCUAAACAACCAAGCAAUCUUAACUGGGACUUAGGUCUUGACCUUUCACCAAUAUGGAAAUCAGUAAUCCGAGACAAUGCUCAUGUCUCUAGUUUACCUCCGGUCCCCUCAAACAUUAUGUAAGCGGGCACAGAGUAGGACGCAAGUCAGUUUCAGUUAAUCUCUGAAGAAGUCAAGAUUAUAAGUUUCAAGCAAAAAAAAAAUUGAUAUCUGACUCUAACCAAUGUCAAUUUGGAAGAACCUUCAACUGCAAGUCGUGCUCAUGAAUAAAGCUUCAUUAAAUACUUUAAACUCGGUUCUUAUUGUUGAUGUUGAUUUCAGAUUGGGAAAAAUUGUUACUGUUAGGUACCUUACAAUUUAGAGUAAUUCUUUUUUAAUUUUUUUUGUAAACCUCUUUGAGUUAGUAUAAUUCCUAAAGUCCUCAGAUCUUCCGAUCGAUUUUGCAAACACAUUUUCGCUUCCUGUCCUUGAAGGUGCCAUCGAAGAAGCGUACGUCUCUUUGAUGGAGUAGAUAAUAAAUUGUGCUCUUAUACUCUUCGUAGGCCGUCCCCUAGUAGUGCGCAGCAGCAUACGUUAAUAUUCCAACGUACCGAGCCAAUCAGAAGUAUAGCCCGGCAAUUUUAAACGGUUAUAUUUUUUGUGAUUAAUUAUUGAUAUUUAUUUUUUUUAUUUUAAAAUGGAGCUUGAAAGGUAAGUUUAAUGCUUUAAUUUGAUAUUUGUAGGUUAUGUUAUGAUGUCUUGAAAUAGUAUAAUUUUUAAUUUUUUAGAAAUAACUUGACUUGCCAAUUUUGUGAGAUGGAAUUUUCAAGUACAUCGACCAAAAACCGAAAUAUACGGACAAAACACUCUGGCCAAGAGGGAUCUGGAUCUGAAAGAAUGCACCAUAUUUUAUGCCCAAUAUGCACAGACAGGAAUUUUUUUUUUUUACUUCAUUCAUUUACUUAAUUGAGCAUUUAAAUUCUUUUCAUAGCUUAGCUAUUAAUGAAUCUAUUUUGCAUUUUAGGAAUUUUGAAGAGUUUUCAGCUUGGAGGACCCAAGAGAAUAGGGAAGUAAAUUAUGCUUGCCGUACACGAAAAAAAUAUCAACACGGUGAAGAAAAAAUAUUUUAUGAAUGUAACAGAAGCAAUUACAAAAGUUAUGUGUUUACUAAUAUGUGAGUAGGCAUAUAAUGUCUCAUAUUUUUUAAGGAUUUGUCAGCUCAGCUAAAAAACGAAGUGUGAAAACUGGAGGGAGUAUUCAUAUUCAUGGGACAUGUGCUUCAAGAAUUGUAGUUAACAUUUCAACUGAGGGAUUUGUGACGGUAAAGUUUGUCGAACAACAUUUAGGACACACUGAGGAACUAAGGACCAAGAGAUUAUCACACAAGCUGAACAGGAGACUAUCGUCGAAAAAAAAGUGCAGAUGAUGUUAUCCAUUUUAUUCAGGAAACGAAGCCCGAUCUCCAUGCAGACACUAUUGCAUUUGAAGAUAGGCGACAGGUCAUUUUGCAAGAAAUGAAUAGCUUUGCUCGCAGUUUGGAAAUUUGUAGAUAUUUUCAGGACAUUUAAGAGGGACACAGAACAACGAAAUUCCGAGGAAAAUUCGAAAAAAAAAUUGAGAAGCAAACAUAUUAUCCUAAAAAAAGUAAUAUAACUAUUUAUAAACCUUUCAUUUUCAAGUGAUAUUUUAUUUUAUAGAUAAUUGCAUACUUUAAUCAGUUUUUUAUUUAUUGCAUAGUUUUUAAUUAAUAAAUAAUAAUUGUAUGAUAUGAGAUGUAAAUAAAUUUUA
This is a long non-coding RNA of Cylas formicarius (sweet potato weevil), 3093 nucleotides long. RefSeq lists it as uncharacterized. The record is from RefSeq and is a predicted model, not a curated record. The transcript is spliced from 4 exons. NCBI's taxonomy places the organism in Eukaryota, Metazoa, Arthropoda, Insecta, Coleoptera, Brentidae.